RNAcentral lists this ribosomal RNA (399 nucleotides) under uncultured Latescibacterota bacterium. RNAcentral describes it as "bacterial SSU rRNA". It matches the Rfam family "Bacterial small subunit ribosomal RNA", at positions 984 to 1382 of the family's 1533-position model. The record is from RNAcentral. Lineage: Bacteria; Pseudomonadati; Candidatus Latescibacterota.
ACAUGCAGGUGAUCGCCGUUGAAAGACGGUUUCCUCUUCGGAGGCACCUGCACAGGUGCUGCAUGGCUGUCGUCAGCUGUGUCGUGAGAUGUUGGGUUAAGUCCCGCAACGAGCGCAACCCUUAUCCCCAGUUGCCAUCAGGUAAAGCUGGGAACUCUGGGGAGACUGCCGGUGAUAAACCGGAGGAAGGCGGGGAUGACGUCAAGUCCUCAUGGCCCUUACAUCCCGGGCUACACACGUGCUACAAUGGCAGGUACAGAGGGCUGCGAAGCCGCGAGGUGGAGCGAAUCCCAGAAAACCUGUCUCAGUCCGGAUUGAAGUCUGCAACUCGACUUCAUGAAGGCGGAAUCGCUAGUAACCGCGAAUCAGCAGGUCGCGGUGAAUACGUUCCCGGGCCUU